AAAAAAGAACGGGCGCGUGAACCGGGAAAGCUCAAAUUUGAAAUCUGGCUGUCUUCGAUAGUCCGAGUUGUAAUCUAUAGAAGCGUUUUCCGUGCUGAACUGUGUCUAAGUCCCUUGGAACAGGGUAUCAAAGAGGGUGAUAAUCCCGUACUUGACACAAUCAUCAGUGCUCUGUGAUACGUUCUCUACGAGUCGAGUUGUUUGGGAAUGCAGCUCAAAAUGGGUGGUAAAUUCCAUCUAAAGCUAAAUAUUGGCGAGAGACCGAUAGCGAACAAGUACCGUGAGGGAAAGAUGAAAAGCACUUUGAAAAGAGAUUUAAACAGUACGUGAAAUUGUUGAAAGGGAAACGAUUGAAGUCAGUCGUGUUCAUUGGAUUCAGCUAGUUCUUCUAGUCUACUUCCUUUGAACGGGUCAACAUCAGUUUUGUCCGGUGGAUAAAGGAUUUAAGAAUGUGACUCCCUCGGGAGUGCUAUAGCCUAGGUUCACAUACACUGGGUGAGACUGAGGACUGCAGCUCGCCUUUUGGCCGGGGUUCGCCCACGUUCGAGCUUAGGAUGUUGACAUAAUGGCUUUAAACGACCCGUCUUGACCCCCGGACCAAA
RNAcentral lists this ribosomal RNA (602 nucleotides) under Trichosporon sp. AA-Y25. RNAcentral describes it as "eukaryotic LSU rRNA". It matches the Rfam family "Eukaryotic large subunit ribosomal RNA", at positions 67 to 670 of the family's 3401-position model. The record is from RNAcentral. Lineage: Eukaryota; Fungi; Basidiomycota; Tremellomycetes; Trichosporonales; Trichosporonaceae.